This 871-nucleotide long non-coding RNA is filed under the name Chinchilla lanigera (long-tailed chinchilla). RNAcentral's name for it is "lncRNA (ENSCLAG00000028895.1)". Lineage: Eukaryota; Metazoa; Chordata; Mammalia; Rodentia; Chinchillidae. The record is from RNAcentral.
CUCGGUUUCCGUCUGCUCAGCGGCUCGAGGGCAGACACAGCCAGGCAGAGGGAGAGGGAGGAGAAGCUGCUCCCCCCACGGCAGAUGCAGCCGGGACACAGAGACAAAGGAGGGACCGGGAGAAGGCUGCACCCUUGCGGUUCACAGCCCACGGCUUCCCCGCCGGCCCGGCCCGGCUCCCGACAGCACAGUGAGCCUGGAGCUCAGGAGCCCAAGCUGAGGAGGUUGUGCCCUGUGCUCUAGUCUCCUUCACCAGGGACUUGGGGGAACAGCUCAUUCAGACGGAACGGGGCCUCAAACCAACCUGCUUCUCGGCCGGCUGCAUCUCAGGUUAUUUGGGAAGCGCCCAACGCAGCCCGGCCUCCCCACAGCCCCCGCUUGGCACCGGGUUCUUACCGAAUAAUGUGGCCACUUCAUCCAAACUUCUAAAACUCAGUAGUUCAGAGCUGGUGUCUGGGUGUGUUCCCAUCGGCCGGAGCUGCACCUUUGGCCAGCAGUACAUCAGGAAGACGAAGAAGUGGGUCCCUGCUCCUCUCCUCGUCACCAUGUUCCCUGCAGCGGAAGGAAAAGGGCUCAGCUUCUCCAGUCCUGGUCUCCAGGAUACGUGGAAUGUCAGGGGCCUGUGACCUCAGGACAGGAAGUGAGCUGGGGUCCUAUCAGGGACCUGUGACAUCAGGACAGGAAGUGAGCCGGGUGAUGUCAGGGACCUGUGACAUCAGGAUAGGAAGUGAGCAGGAUGACAUCAGGACAGGCGUGAGCUGGGGUCCUAUCAGGGACCCGUGACAUCGGGACAGGAGUGAGCUGGGGUCCUAUCAGGGGCCUGUGACCUCAGGACAGGAAGUGAGCAGGAUGACAUCAGGACAGGAGUGAG